AUUGAAACACCAGUUUCAGUAUAAUCACUGAAGUUAAGCAAUGUCGAGUCUGAUCAGUACCUUGAUGGGUGACUACUUGGGAAUACCAGGUGCUGUAAG
Molecule: non-coding RNA, 99 nt
Organism: Acanthosepion pharaonis
Lineage: Eukaryota; Metazoa; Mollusca; Cephalopoda; Sepiida; Sepiidae
Source: the annotation of a GenBank genome assembly